RNAcentral lists this ribosomal RNA (468 nucleotides) under uncultured bacterium. RNAcentral describes it as "partial 16S ribosomal RNA". It matches the Rfam family "Bacterial small subunit ribosomal RNA", at positions 28 to 507 of the family's 1533-position model. The record is from RNAcentral.
GACGAACGCUGGCGGCGUGCUUAACACAUGCAAGUCGAACGGAAAGGCCCUGCUUUUGUGGGGUGCUCGAGUGGCGAACGGGUGAGUAACACGUGAGUAACCUGCCCUUGACUUUGGGAUAACUUCAGGAAACUGGGGCUAAUACCGGAUAGGAGCUCCUGCUGCAUGGUGGGGGUUGGAAAGUUUCGGCGGUUGGGGAUGGACUCGCGGCUUAUCAGCUUGUUGGUGGGGUAGUGGCUUACCAAGGCUUUGACGGGUAGCCGGCCUGAGAGGGUGACCGGCCACAUUGGGACUGAGAUACGGACCAGAAUCCUACGGGAGGCAGCAGUGGAGAAUAUUGCAGAAUGGGCGGAAGCCUGAUGCAGAAACGCCGCGAGCGGGAUGACGGCCUUCGGGUUGUAAACCGCUUUCGCCUGUAAUGAAGCGUGAGUGACGGUAAUGGGUAAAGAAGCACCGGCUAACUACGUG